GACCACCACCGCCCCACCACCACCACCACCACCACCUCCUCCUCCUGGUUCUCCUCGGCGUGUCGUUUCGGCUGACAGGUUCCAGAGGCGCACCUCACGAUAUGUUCCGCGGGCGUAGCAGCAGCGGCACCCGCGGCUUAGUCAGGCCUGUGGUGUGUCUUUUCUCCACCCCGGACUCGUGCUUGGACGUUGGGGCGGUAAAGGCGGAGUCCUCGGUGCCCCUCCACUGCCUCCCUGAGAACGAAGCCCUCCUUCCUCUCUGGUGUUUUUUUUUUUUUCGCGGAGAGUGUCUAAUCAUGUGAGGACCGGCUCGUCACCAUCAUGAUAUGAAAGCUUGUGACACGCCACAUCCCGGCGUUUUACUUUACAAGCAGUCACACCCCCACAUAAGUACACAAAUCAUAUAUAAAUCUAACAUUUCGUGCUUCUUCUCGCGAUACUUUGAACAGCAUUGUUAGCCCAGUUUAAAUUAAUACAACUCAUUGCAGCCGGUUUAAAAAACAAGAGCAGAAACUUUUCAGCACCAAGGACAGUGGCUCGAAUGACUUCAACGUCUCUGACAUGUUUUAAAGAUAUUUGUUUGUGAUUUUAAAAAAAUGCCAUGCUUUUUAUGUGGACGAAAUAACCAUUUGCUGUUGAAUAUGGACACUUUCAGCCAAACAUUUGUCAAAAAAUAAAUAAAUCUGACCCAG
This is a long non-coding RNA of Girardinichthys multiradiatus, 692 nucleotides long. RefSeq lists it as uncharacterized. The record is from RefSeq and is a predicted model, not a curated record. The transcript is spliced from 2 exons. NCBI's taxonomy places the organism in Eukaryota, Metazoa, Chordata, Actinopteri, Cyprinodontiformes, Goodeidae.